GAGGGCGCCGAGGCCAUAAUGUAUCACAUGUCGAACGUGUAGCCUUAUAACGGAUUAACCGCACUCAGCUAGUUGCGGUUAAUUUUCGACACCUCACAGCCAUUACGACUUGUGAAAUUGAAAUUCACGUUUUAACCGCUUUUUUAUUUCAAGUAUCUAAGUAAAUGUGGCCUGUGCACUCAACUUCUUAGAAGUUGCGAAAACUUAAACUACUUAAAUUGUAACUACUGACCUUAUAUGCAGACCU
Zophobas morio is the source of this 247-nucleotide long non-coding RNA. RefSeq lists it as uncharacterized. The transcript is spliced from 3 exons. The record is from RefSeq and is a predicted model, not a curated record. Lineage: Eukaryota; Metazoa; Arthropoda; Insecta; Coleoptera; Tenebrionidae.